CAGGCCUAACCAUGCAAGUCGAGCGGCAGCACAGAGGAACUUGUUCCUUGGGUGGCGAGCGGCGGACGGGUGAGUAAUGCCUAGGAAAUUGCCCUGAUGUGGGGGAUAACCAUUGGAAACGAUGGCUAAUACCGCAUGAUGCCUACGGGCCAAAGAGGGGGACCUUCGGGCCUCUCGCGUCAGGAUAUGCCUAGGUGGGAUUAGCUAGUUGGUGAGGUAAUGGCUCACCAAGGCGACGAUCCCUAGCUGGUCUGAGAGGAUGAUCAGCCACACUGGAACUGAGACACGGUCCAGACUCCUACGGGAGGCAGCAGUGGGGAAUAUUGCACAAUGGGCGCAAGCCUGAUGCAGCCAUGCCGCGUGUAUGAAGAAGGCCUUCGGGUUGUAAAGUACUUUCAGUCGUGAGGAAGGUGGUGUUGU
Molecule: ribosomal RNA, 420 nt
Filed under: Vibrio sp.
Lineage: Bacteria; Pseudomonadati; Pseudomonadota; Gammaproteobacteria; Vibrionales; Vibrionaceae
Description: bacterial SSU rRNA
Rfam family: Bacterial small subunit ribosomal RNA
Source: RNAcentral